CCCCUAGAUGUUCUGGGCCGCACGCGCGCUACACUGAACAGUUCAACAAGUCUUAACCUUGGCCGAUAGGUCUGGGUAAUCUUUGAACGCUGUUCGUGAUUGGGAUAGACCUUUGCAAUUAUGGGUCUUCAACGAGGAAUUCCUAGUAAACGCAAGUCAUCGGCUUGCAUUGAUUACGUCCCUGCCCUUUGUACACACCGCCCGUCGCACCUACCGAUUGAAUGGUCCGGUGAAAUCUCGGGACGGCGGCUUGGUCGCUUGCGUCCGACUGCUGAAACUUGAUUAAACCAUAUCAUUUAGAGGAAGGUGAAGUCGUANCA
This 320-nucleotide ribosomal RNA is filed under the name uncultured eukaryote. RNAcentral's name for it is "partial 18S ribosomal RNA". It matches the Rfam family "Eukaryotic small subunit ribosomal RNA", at positions 1470 to 1796 of the family's 1831-position model. The record is from RNAcentral.